This 287-nucleotide unclassified non-coding RNA is filed under the name uncultured fungus. RNAcentral's name for it is "partial contains 5.8S rRNA, ITS2 and 28S rRNA". It matches the Rfam family "Eukaryotic large subunit ribosomal RNA", at positions 668 to 961 of the family's 3401-position model. Lineage: Eukaryota; Fungi. The record is from RNAcentral.
AAGGAGUCAACCUUAUGUGCGAGUGUUCGGGUGUCAAACCCCUACGCGUAAUGAAAGUGAACGCAGGUGAGAGCUUCGGCGCAUCAUCGACCGAUCCUGAUGUUCUCGGAUGGAUUUGAGUAAGAGCAUAUAGGGUUGGACCCGAAAGAAGGUGAACUAUGCGUGUAUAGGGUGAAGCCAGAGGAAACUCUGGUGGAGGCUCGCAGCGGUUCUGACGUGCAAAUCGAUCGUCAAAUAUGCGCAUGGGGGCGAAAGACUAAUCGAACCUUCUAGUAGCUGGUUUCCGC